CCUCCUUUCCUUGGCAGGGACUGGGCUUGUGGUCCUGCUACCCGUAAUGUACAGAGGAAGAGGGAAAGGGCUCUGGCCCCCUUGGCAUCAUGUCUUCGGUGCUGGUGACUUCCCAUCUGCUAGCUCUAUCCUCAAGCGCCGAGACACCG
Molecule: small nucleolar RNA, 149 nt
Organism: Callithrix jacchus (white-tufted-ear marmoset)
Lineage: Eukaryota; Metazoa; Chordata; Mammalia; Primates; Cebidae
Source: Ensembl